This 1478-nucleotide ribosomal RNA is filed under the name Escherichia coli. Its description in RNAcentral is "bacterial SSU rRNA". It matches the Rfam family "Bacterial small subunit ribosomal RNA". Lineage: Bacteria; Pseudomonadati; Pseudomonadota; Gammaproteobacteria; Enterobacterales; Enterobacteriaceae. The record is from RNAcentral.
GAACGGUAACAGAAAGCAGCUUGCUGCUUUGCUGACGAGUGGCGGACGGGUGAGUAAUGUCUGGGAAACUGCCUGAUGGAGGGGGAUAACUACUGGAAACGGUAGCUAAUACCGCAUAACGUCGCAAGACCAAAGAGGGGGACCUUCGGGCCUCUUGCCAUCGGAUGUGCCCAGAUGGGAUUAGCUUGUUGGUGGGGUAACGGCUCACCAAGGCGACGAUCCCUAGCUGGUCUGAGAGGAUGACCAGCCACACUGGAACUGAGACACGGUCCAGACUCCUACGGGAGGCAGCAGUGGGGAAUAUUGCACAAUGGGCGCAAGCCUGAUGCAGCCAUGCCGCGUGUAUGAAGAAGGCCUUCGGGUUGUAAAGUACUUUCAGCGGGGAGGAAGGGAGUAAAGUUAAUACCUUUGCUCAUUGACGUUACCCGCAGAAGAAGCACCGGCUAACUCCGUGCCAGCAGCCGCGGUAAUACGGAGGGUGCAAGCGUUAAUCGGAAUUACUGGGCGUAAAGCGCACGCAGGCGGUUUGUUAAGUCAGAUGUGAAAUCCCCGGGCUCAACCUGGGAACUGCAUCUGAUACUGGCAAGCUUGAGUCUCGUAGAGGGGGGUAGAAUUCCAGGUGUAGCGGUGAAAUGCGUAGAGAUCUGGAGGAAUACCGGUGGCGAAGGCGGCCCCCUGGACGAAGACUGACGCUCAGGUGCGAAAGCGUGGGGAGCAAACAGGAUUAGAUACCCUGGUAGUCCACGCCGUAAACGAUGUCGACUUGGAGGUUGUGCCCUUGAGGCGUGGCUUCCGGAGCUAACGCGUUAAGUCGACCGCCUGGGGAGUACGGCCGCAAGGUUAAAACUCAAAUGAAUUGACGGGGGCCCGCACAAGCGGUGGAGCAUGUGGUUUAAUUCGAUGCAACGCGAAGAACCUUACCUGGUCUUGACAUCCACAGAACUUUCCAGAGAUGGAUUGGUGCCUUCGGGAACUGUGAGACAGGUGCUGCAUGGCUGUCGUCAGCUCGUGUUGUGAAAUGUUGGGUUAAGUCCCGCAACGAGCGCAACCCUUAUCCUUUGUUGCCAGCGGUCCGGCCGGGAACUCAAAGGAGACUGCCAGUGAUAAACUGGAGGAAGGUGGGGAUGACGUCAAGUCAUCAUGGCCCUUACGACCAGGGCUACACACGUGCUACAAUGGCGCAUACAAAGAGAAGCGACCUCGCGAGAGCAAGCGGACCUCAUAAAGUGCGUCGUAGUCCGGAUUGGAGUCUGCAACUCGACUCCAUGAAGUCGGAAUCGCUAGUAAUCGUGGAUCAGAAUGCCACGGUGAAUACGUUCCCGGGCCUUGUACACACCGCCCGUCACACCAUGGGAGUGGGUUGCAAAAGAAGUAGGUAGCUUAACCUUCGGGAGGGCGCUUACCACUUUGUGAUUCAUGACUGGGGUGAAGUCGUAACAAGGUAACCGUAGGGGAACCUGCGGUUGGAUCACCUCCUU